AUUUUGGCCAGACAUGCAAGGGUCUCAUUUCAGAACAACUUGAGGAGCCAUUUGACCCAGCAUCAGGGGAAACAGAAAGAGAAUGUCAGUCAUUUGCUUAUUUAACUAUUUUUAAAGACAUAAUUAGUUCUAUUGAAUUAUUGCAGCAGAGGAAGGAUGGAAAUACGAGAACUAGUGCAAAGUAGGAGGGGAAAUAAAGGCAGUGGGAACUCAACUUGAAAAUUUCAAAAGCUAAAUAAUGUUGAAAACAAGGACCACAUUGGUUUAACAUCUUGUUUCCUUUUGUUUAUUGCUGGGCGUUAGAAGGUUCAUGGGCCCGUGUACAGAAGUGAUAUUGAAAAAAAGAGAAAGAAGAAAGAAAGAAAGAAAAAGAAAGAAAGAAAAAAGCUCUUCCCUUUACAACACAAUGCAAAAACUCUCAACUCCUUCCGGAAUCUAAAAGAAUUUUGGAGGUGGCAAACCUUGGAGAACCUUUUUGACAUCUACACCUUGACCAUUAUAUAUCUAAACGGUUUUAAAAACCAAGAAACAAGAGGAUUGGAUGUGCUGAGGAGAGCAAAGAUUCUAUAUUGCCUCAACAGUUGCUCCCUUCCUGCGGCAAAGAAAAUGGCAAAGCAAGCAUUUUUUUGGCCCUUCAUCCAGGCAAUGAAUGGCCCAGGUACUGACAUCACCUAACUCUCUGGGGAAAGGACAUUCACUUCCAAUCCAGUUGAGAAUAACUAAGUCUAAACAGAAAAUGAUGGACAAUAUGCAAAAUUCCAUCUUCCAAGCCAAAUAACUGGAAUAUUUUAGAACAUACUGAA
This is a long non-coding RNA of Ursus maritimus (polar bear), 803 nucleotides long. The record is from Ensembl. Lineage: Eukaryota; Metazoa; Chordata; Mammalia; Carnivora; Ursidae.